RNAcentral lists this ribosomal RNA (253 nucleotides) under uncultured bacterium. RNAcentral describes it as "partial 16S ribosomal RNA". It matches the Rfam family "Bacterial small subunit ribosomal RNA", at positions 524 to 776 of the family's 1533-position model. The record is from RNAcentral.
UACGAGGGGGGCGAGCGUUAAUCGGAAUUACUGGGCGUAAAGCGUGCGCAGGCGGUUUGUUAAGUCCGUUGUGAAAGCCCCGAGCUCAACUUGGGAAUUGCAGUGGAUACUGGCAGGCUGGAGUACGGUAGAGGAAGGUGGAAUUCCCGGUGUAGCAGUGAAAUGCGUAGAUAUCGGGAGGAACACCAGUGGCGAAGGCAGCCCCCUGGGCUGACACUGACGCUCAGGCACGAAAGCGUGGGGAGCAAACAGG